Non-coding RNA from Myotis davidii, 75 nucleotides. The record is from Rfam. Lineage: Eukaryota; Metazoa; Chordata; Mammalia; Chiroptera; Vespertilionidae.
GGCAGUUCUCGGGUGAUGCACUGCAGAAUCAAGCUCCCUCCUCUCUGGUUCUGGGUGCAUCACCCGAGAACUGCA